AUUGAACGCUGGCGGCAUGCUUUACACAUGCAAGUCGAACGGUAACAGGCCGCAAGGUGCUGACGAGUGGCGACCGGGUGCGUAAUGCAUCCGAACGUGCCCAGUCGUUGGGGAUCACUACUCGCAAGAGUAGCUCAUACCGCAUACGAUCUAUUGAUGAAAGCGGGGUACCGUAAUGCUUCGCGCGAUUUUUGCUGCCGAUGUCAGAUUAGGUAGUUGGUGGGGUAAAGGCUUACCAAGCCAACGAUUUGUAGCUGGUCUGAGAGGACGACCAGCCACACUGGAACUGAGACACGGCCCAGACUCCUACGGGAGGCAGCAGUGGGGAAUUUUGGACAAUGGGCGCAAGCCUGAUCCAGCAAUGCCGCGUGCAGGAAGAAGGCCUUCGGGUUGUAAACUGCUUUUGUACGGAACGAAACAGCUCUGGUUAAUACCCGGGGCUAAUGACGGUACCGUAAGAAUAAGCACCGGCUAACUACGUG
This 482-nucleotide ribosomal RNA is filed under the name uncultured bacterium. Its description in RNAcentral is "partial 16S ribosomal RNA". It matches the Rfam family "Bacterial small subunit ribosomal RNA", at positions 30 to 507 of the family's 1533-position model. The record is from RNAcentral.